CCUACGGGUGGCUGCAGUGGGGAAUAUUGCACAAUGGGCGCAAGCCUGAUGCAGCCAUGGCGCGUGUGUGAAGAAGGCCUUCGGGUUGUAAAGCACUUUCAGCGGGGAGGAAGGCGGUGAGGUUAAUAACCUCAUCGAUUGACGUUACCCGCAGAAGAAGCACCGGCUAACUCCGUGCCAGCAGCCGCGGUAAUACGGAGGGUGCAAGCGUUAAUCGGAAUUACUGGGCGUAAAGCGCACGCAGGCGGUCUGUCAAGUCGGAUGUGAAAUCCCCGGGCUCAACCUGGGAACUGCAUUCGAAACUGGGAGGCUAGAGUCUUGUAGAGGGGGGUAGAAUUCCAGGUGUAGCGGUGAAAUGCGUAGAGAUCUGGAGGAAUACCGGUGGCGAAGGCGGCCCCCUGGACAAAGACUGACGCUUAGGUGCGAAAGCGUGGGGAGCAAACAGGAUUAGAUACCCGUGUAGUC
Molecule: ribosomal RNA, 465 nt
Filed under: uncultured Klebsiella sp.
Lineage: Bacteria; Pseudomonadati; Pseudomonadota; Gammaproteobacteria; Enterobacterales; Enterobacteriaceae
Description: bacterial SSU rRNA
Rfam family: Bacterial small subunit ribosomal RNA
Source: RNAcentral